GAUGAACGCUGGCGGCGUGCCUAAUACAUGCAAGUCGAGCGAACAGAUGAGGAGCUUGCUCCUCUGACGUUAGCGGCGGACGGGUGAGUAACACGUGGAUAACCUACCUAUAAGACUGGGAUAACUUCGGGAAACCGGAGCUAAUACCGUAUAAUAUAUUGAACCGCAUGGUUCAAUAGUGAAAGACGGUUUUGCUGUCACUUAUAGAUGGAUCCGCGCCGCAUUAGCUAGUUGGUAAGGUAACGGCUUACCAAGGCAACGAUGCGUAGCCGACCUGAGAGGGUGAUCGGCCACACUGGAACUGAGACACGGUCCAGACUCCUACGGGAGGCAGCAGUAGGGAAUCUUCCGCAAUGGGCGAAAGCCUGACGGAGCAACGCCGCGUGAGUGAUGAAGGUCUUCGGAUCGUAAAAAUCUGUUAUUAGGGAAGAACAAAUGUGUAAGUAACUAUGCACGUCUUGACGGUACCUAAUCAGAAAGCCACGGCUAACUACGUG
RNAcentral lists this ribosomal RNA (497 nucleotides) under uncultured bacterium. RNAcentral's name for it is "partial 16S ribosomal RNA". It matches the Rfam family "Bacterial small subunit ribosomal RNA", at positions 28 to 507 of the family's 1533-position model. The record is from RNAcentral.